This is a non-coding RNA of Lactuca sativa (garden lettuce), 1103 nucleotides long. Lineage: Eukaryota; Viridiplantae; Streptophyta; Magnoliopsida; Asterales; Asteraceae. The record is from RefSeq and is a predicted model, not a curated record.
GUCAAAAUUAUUUUCAAUUUUGUAGAAUUGUCACCUGUGAAUUUUGUUCUUUUCUGUGUUCAUGUUUAUGUUUACGGAACUGUUAGCUAGGCUAGACACAUAUCAAGAUCCUACCAUUUAUGCAUAAGAGUCUUUUAUUUUAAUUCUAUUUUUCGUUUUUAGUUUUUUUGCUCGACUUGUGUUGUCUAUUUUAUGAUGAUUCCAGACCUCUGAUCCGAAUUAUAGGCGAUCGAUUCCCAUGGCAAGUGAAAAGUGCUAUUUUGUCAACUUUGACCAUCAUAAUAGCAAAAGGUGGGAUGGCACUUAAACCUUUUCUCCUACAGCCACAAACCACCUUUGUCAAAUUCUUGCAGGACAACCCAAGGUAAGACUUGUUUUAUACUACUGUCUUUUGUUGAUUAUUCGACUUACAAGGGCAUUCUCGUCAAUUUGCAGGAGUGUUCGUUCAAGUGCUGCUCUUGCACUUGGUAAGCUUAGUGCAUUAAGCACAAGAGUUGAUCCCCUAGUUAGGGGUCUUCUAUCUAACCUACAUGCAUCAGACGGUGGGGUUCGUGAGGCAAUAUUGGUCGCCCUAAAAGGUGUUGUCAAGCAUGCUGGAAAGAGUGUUAGUGGUCCCGUUAAGACACGUGUUUUUGAUCACUCAAAUGAGUUGAUCUAGAACGAUGAUGACCAAAUACGAAGCUCUUCAGCAAGAAUUCUAGGCAUCAUAUCAGAGGUGAAAAAGAAACGAGCUGGUCGGGAUGGAAAAAUAGAUGGGCUGGUCCCUCCCCAAAGUAACCACAUAUGGUAACUCAUAUCGUGUCACUGGACCAUCUGGUUGUGUAUAAAAGCUCAAUUGCACUGCCUCCUGCCACAAUAAUAAAAUAUAAUAAAAAGAUCUUAAGUUUUGUAUGAAGAAACAAUAGAAAUUAGUCAAAUUUAUUACUACCUUGUCCAAUUUUCUCUCAAUGAACAACAAUUGCAAACUGUAGUCACCCUUGGGCAGUUUUGCCGACUCCGGGUACACAUCACCCAUGGCGUACACACGCUGUAAUAAUAAAUAAAUUAAUAAUUAAAAAAUAUGACAUCUAUAGCAAGGAAAUGACUUGAUUAAAAAAUAAAAA